CCCUUAGAUGUUCUGGGCUGCACGCGCGCUACACUGAUGCGCUCAACGAGUUUUAACCUUGCCUGGAAAGGUUGGGUAAUCUUUUUAAAACGCAUCGUGAUGGGGAUAGAUUAUUGCAAUUAUUAAUCUUCAACGAGGAAUUCCUAGUAAGCGCGAGUCAUAAGCUCGCGUUGAUUACGUCCCUGCCCUUUGUACACACCGCCCGUCGCUACUACCGAUUGAAUGGUUUAGUGAGAUCCUCGGAUUGGUCCCGCCACGGGAGGAAACUUUCGAGGCGGAGUGCCGAGAAGACGAUCAAACUUGAUCAUUUAGAGGAAGUAAAAGUCGUAACA
RNAcentral lists this ribosomal RNA (332 nucleotides) under uncultured eukaryote. Its description in RNAcentral is "partial 18S ribosomal RNA". It matches the Rfam family "Eukaryotic small subunit ribosomal RNA", at positions 1470 to 1796 of the family's 1831-position model. The record is from RNAcentral.